Molecule: ribosomal RNA, 253 nt
Filed under: uncultured bacterium
Lineage: Bacteria
Description: partial 16S ribosomal RNA
Rfam family: Bacterial small subunit ribosomal RNA
Source: RNAcentral
UACGAAGGGGGCUAGCGUUGUUCGGAAUUACUGGGCGUAAAGCGCGUGUAGGCGGGUCGUUAAGUCGGGGGUGAAAUCCCAGAGCUCAACUCUGGAACUGCCUUCGAUACUGGCGACCUGGACCCAAGUAGAGGCGAGUGGAAUUGCGAGUGUAGAGGUGAAAUUCGUAGAUAUUCGCAGGAACACCAGUGGCGAAGGCGACUCGCUGGACUUGUGGUGACGCUGAGACGCGAAAGCGUGGGUAGCAAACAGG